RNAcentral lists this ribosomal RNA (531 nucleotides) under Penicillium oxalicum. RNAcentral describes it as "eukaryotic LSU rRNA". The stretch from base 159 to 312 matches the Rfam family "5.8S ribosomal RNA". The record is from RNAcentral. Lineage: Eukaryota; Fungi; Ascomycota; Eurotiomycetes; Eurotiales; Aspergillaceae.
GGGUCACCUCCCACCCGUGUUUAUCGUACCUUGUUGCUUCGGCGGGCCCGCCUCACGGCCGCCGGGGGGCAUCCGCCCCCGGGCCCGCGCCCGCCGAAGACACACAAACGAACUCUUGUCUGAAGAUUGCAGUCUGAGUACUUGACUAAAUCAGUUAAAACUUUCAACAACGGAUCUCUUGGUUCCGGCAUCGAUGAAGAACGCAGCGAAAUGCGAUAAGUAAUGUGAAUUGCAGAAUUCAGUGAAUCAUCGAGUCUUUGAACGCACAUUGCGCCCCCUGGUAUUCCGGGGGGCAUGCCUGUCCGAGCGUCAUUGCUGCCCUCAAGCACGGCUUGUGUGUUGGGCUCUCGCCCCCCGCUUCCGGGGGGCGGGCCCGAAAGGCAGCGGCGGCACCGCGUCCGGUCCUCGAGCGUAUGGGGCUUCGUCACCCGCUCUGUAGGCCCGGCCGGCGCCCGCCGGCGAACACCAUCAAUCUUAACCAGGUUGACCUCGGAUCAGGUAGGGAUACCCGCUGAACUUAAGCAUAUCAAU